This 465-nucleotide ribosomal RNA is filed under the name Vreelandella stevensii. Its description in RNAcentral is "partial 16S ribosomal RNA". It matches the Rfam family "Bacterial small subunit ribosomal RNA", at positions 338 to 795 of the family's 1533-position model. The record is from RNAcentral. Lineage: Bacteria; Pseudomonadati; Pseudomonadota; Gammaproteobacteria; Oceanospirillales; Halomonadaceae.
CCUACGGGUGGCAGCAGUGGGGAAUAUUGGACAAUGGGGGCAACCCUGAUCCAGCCAUGCCGCGUGUGUGAAGAAGGCCCUCGGGUUGUAAAGCACUUUCAGUGAGGAAGAACGCCUGGUGGUUAAUACCCAUCAGGAAAGACAUCACUCACAGAAGAAGCACCGGCUAACUCCGUGCCAGCAGCCGCGGUAAUACGGAGGGUGCGAGCGUUAAUCGGAAUUACUGGGCGUAAAGCGCGCGUAGGUGGCUUGAUAAGCCGGUUGUGAAAGCCCCGGGCUCAACCUGGGAACGGCAUCCGGAACUGUCAAGCUAGAGUGCAGGAGAGGAAGGUAGAAUUCCCGGUGUAGCGGUGAAAUGCGUAGAGAUCGGGAGGAAUACCAGUGGCGAAGGCGGCCUUCUGGACUGACACUGACACUGGGGUGCGAAAGCGUGGGUAGCAAACAGGAUUAGAUACCCCGGUAGUC